Molecule: ribosomal RNA, 253 nt
Filed under: uncultured bacterium
Lineage: Bacteria
Description: partial 16S ribosomal RNA
Rfam family: Bacterial small subunit ribosomal RNA
Source: RNAcentral
UACGUAGGGGGCUAGCGUUGUUCGGAAUUACUGGGCGUAAAGCGCACGUAGGCGGAUAUUUAAGUCAGGGGUGAAAUCCCGGGGCUCAACCCCGGAACUGCCUUUGAUACUGGGUAUCUCGAGUCCGAGAGAGGUGAGUGGAAUUCCGAGUGUAGAGGUGAAAUUCGUAGAUAUUCGGAGGAACACCAGUGGCGAAGGCGGCUCACUGGCCCGGUACUGACGCUGAGGUGCGAAAGCGUGGGGAGCAAACAGG